AUUGAACGCUGGCGGAAUGCUUUACACAUGCAAGUCGAGCGGCAGCGCGGGGCAACCUGGCGGCGAGCGGCGAACGGGUGAGUAAUACAUCGGAACGUACCCAGUUGUGGGGGAUAGCCCGGCGAAAGCCGGAUUAAUACCGCAUACGACCUGAGGGUGAAAGGGGGGGAUCGCAAGACCUCUCGCAGUUGGAGCGGCCGAUGGCGGAUUAGCUAGUUGGUGAGGUAAAGGCUCACCAAGGCGACGAUCCGUAGCUGGUCUGAGAGGACGACCAGCCACACUGGAACUGAGACACGGUCCAGACUCCUACGGGAGGCAGCAGUGGGGAAUUUUGGACAAUGGGGGCAACCCUGAUCCAGCCAUUCCGCGUGAGUG
RNAcentral lists this ribosomal RNA (375 nucleotides) under uncultured bacterium. RNAcentral describes it as "bacterial SSU rRNA". It matches the Rfam family "Bacterial small subunit ribosomal RNA", at positions 29 to 407 of the family's 1533-position model. The record is from RNAcentral.